Molecule: ribosomal RNA, 781 nt
Filed under: Ferrimonas balearica
Lineage: Bacteria; Pseudomonadati; Pseudomonadota; Gammaproteobacteria; Alteromonadales; Ferrimonadaceae
Description: bacterial SSU rRNA
Rfam family: Bacterial small subunit ribosomal RNA
Source: RNAcentral
AGCGGUGAAAUGCGUAGAGAUCUGAAAGGAAUAUCAGUGGCGAAGGGCGGGCCCCCCUGGGCAAGAGACUGACGCUCAGAUGCGAAAGCGUGGGGAGCAAACAGGGAUUAGAUACCCUGGUAGUCCACGCCGUAAAACGAUGUCUAUUAGGAGUCUGUGACCCUUGAGUCGUGGGUUCCAAAGCUAACGCAUUAAAUAGACCGCCUGGGGGAGUACGGCCGCAAGGUUAAAACUCAAAUGAAUUGACGGGGGCCCGCACAAGCGGUGGAGCAUGUGGUUUAAUUCGAUGCAACGCGAAGAACCUUACCUACCCUUGACAUCCAGAGAACUUACCAGAGAUGGUUUGGUGCCUUCGGGAACUCUGAGACAGGUGCUGCAUGGCUGUCGUCAGCUCGUGUUGUGAAAUGUUGGGUUAAGUCCCGCAACGAGCGCAACCCUUGUCCUAUGUUGCCAGCGCGUAAUGGCGGGAACUCAUGGGAGACUGCCGGUGAUAAACCGGAGGAAGGUGGGGACGACGUCAAGUCAUCAUGGCCCUUACGGGUAGGGCUACACACGUGCUACAAUGGUCAGUACAAAGGGUUGCCAACUCGCGAGAGUGAGCCAAUCCCAUAAAGCUGGUCGUAGUCCGGAUUGGAGUCUGCAACUCGACUCCAUGAAGUCGGAAUCGCUAGUAAUCGUGGAUCAGAAUGCCACGGUGAAUACGUUCCCGGGCCUUGUACACACCGCCCGUCACACCACUGGGAGUGGGCUGCAAAAGAAGUGGGUAGUUAACCUCGGAGGA